Molecule: ribosomal RNA, 186 nt
Filed under: uncultured Glomus
Lineage: Eukaryota; Fungi; Glomeromycota; Glomeromycetes; Glomerales; Glomeraceae
Description: partial 18S ribosomal RNA
Rfam family: Eukaryotic small subunit ribosomal RNA
Source: RNAcentral
CAGCAGCCGCGGUAAUUGCAGCUCCGGUGGACGUAUAUUAAAGUUGUUGCAGUUAAAAAGCUCGUAGUUGAAUUUCGGGAUCAAUAUUUCGGUCAUGCCGUUGGUAUGCACUGUUAUCAUUGAUUUCUCACCUUCUAAAGAACCGUAAUGCCAUUAAUUUGGUGUUACGGGGAAUUAGGACGUUGU